GAUGAACGCUGGCGGCGUGCCUAAUACAUGCAAGUCGAGCGAACAGAUGAGGAGCUUGCUCCUCUGACGUUAGCGGCGGACGGGUGAGUAACACGUGGAUAACCUACCUAUAAGACUGGGAUAACUUCGGGAAACCGGAGCUAAUACCGGAUAAUAUAUUGAACCGCAUGGUUCAAUAGUGAAAGACGGUUUUGCUGUCACUUAUAGAUGGAUCCGCGCCGCAUUAGCUAGUUGGUAAGGUAACGGCUUACCAAGGCAACGAUGCGUAGCCGACCUGAGAGGGAGGACGGCCACAGAGAUGCGGAACCACGUGCCAGAGUCAUACGGGAGGUAGCAGUCGGGAUUAUAGCGCGUUGAGUGCGAGCCGGACGGAGCGACGCCGAGCGAGUGAUGGAGGACAUCGGAUGGGUAAACUCUGUUAUUAGUGAGGAACAAAUCUGUACGUUUUUGUGCACAUCUAGACGGUACCUGAUCAGGAAGCCACGGCUAACUACGUG
RNAcentral lists this ribosomal RNA (497 nucleotides) under uncultured bacterium. RNAcentral describes it as "partial 16S ribosomal RNA". It matches the Rfam family "Bacterial small subunit ribosomal RNA", at positions 28 to 507 of the family's 1533-position model. The record is from RNAcentral.